Cyprinodon tularosa is the source of this 487-nucleotide long non-coding RNA. RefSeq lists it as uncharacterized. NCBI's taxonomy places the organism in Eukaryota, Metazoa, Chordata, Actinopteri, Cyprinodontiformes, Cyprinodontidae. The record is from RefSeq and is a predicted model, not a curated record. The transcript has 3 exons.
GAUCUGGAGUUUUCUGCCAUCUGUCUCCAGCAGAGAGCGCCCUGGGUCUCCUGAGCAGGAGCUUCAGGCACACCUGAAGAUCAUCAGCCGAUCAGGAGACCAGCUACUUAAGCAGCAGCCAGAUGUGUCUUCAGCGCCAGAGUGUUGCCAAGUUAUGACCUGUCCGCCUGCCCUCACGAGCCAAACCUGAAGACUCACUUCUGGAUCUGUAUUCCGUUCUCAGGAGAGAACCCUGGCAAACCCUCAAGGUCUGUGAAACAAACUCUAGUCUGAAGACAAACACUGCUGCUAUCAAGCCUCUGCUGGAUCCACAAGCUCUGGACCCAAUUGGUUCCCCCUCUCGUCGAAUCAGUCUGAAUACCUCCAGAGAACCCUCAAGAAGUCUGUCCCGGGCUUAUACCAGAACCGUGUUUAUAUGUUUGUGCAACUCUGAAUAAACCUUUGAACUUUUUACCCCUGUGUUCGUGGUGUGUUCUGCAUGUGGGUU